Galeopterus variegatus (Sunda flying lemur) is the source of this 469-nucleotide long non-coding RNA. RefSeq lists it as uncharacterized. The record is from RefSeq and is a predicted model, not a curated record. Lineage: Eukaryota; Metazoa; Chordata; Mammalia; Dermoptera; Cynocephalidae. The transcript is spliced from 2 exons.
CGACAACCAUUUAUACGUCUUUAAAUAUUAAUGCUGGUGCCAAAGAACACAAAGCAAAUGCAAUGUUCAGAGCCCAAAUUGACUAAGAAUUCCCGCAGAGGCACAGGCUGAGAUGAAGUUUCUUCACACUGGUGGAUCUGGUCUGGUGAUGCCCAUUGCUGGAGGGGUCACACCAGGAAGUGAAUGGACCCAUAGGGAAGAGUGUCUGUCAACAAUCAACAGGUUUAGAUUAGCCCAGGAAGUGACUGGAAGGUGUUAUCGCCACACGGAGGGGUGAAGAGGUUGAUGGAUCUGCAGAGAAAAGCCGUCAGCGAGCGGAGGAGGCCUCGCUCCCCUUUGCCUCCAGUUCAUACUGAACGCUGCUCUAAGGAACACACCAGACUGAGCAAAGGCAGAGUUUGUAUCUUAACGUAAUUGAACAUAAAGUCUUGUCCAUAAAAUCAAAAUAAAGUUGCCUGAUUCGUCCCAA